This is a long non-coding RNA of Symphalangus syndactylus (siamang), 289 nucleotides long. RefSeq lists it as uncharacterized. The record is from RefSeq and is a predicted model, not a curated record. Lineage: Eukaryota; Metazoa; Chordata; Mammalia; Primates; Hylobatidae.
ACGACACAGAGUUUACCCCUUCCACCAUGUGAGAACAUAGCAAGAAGGUGCCAUCUUGGAAGCAGACAGCAGCCCUCAAGUCUUACCUGCCAGUGCCUUGAUCUAGGACUUCCCAGCCUCCAGAACUCAUCUGGAAGAGGCUCUGGGAGGGUCCAAGCAACAAACCACGCGGCGUUCUCUGGUGGCUGAGCUGGGACGAGUGGGCGGAAACAGCCUCAGCUGACAACUGUCAAGAACUGUCCCCUGCCAUUUCACCUGAGCCAACCUGAUCUCCCCAGGGGAAUGAGCC